This 768-nucleotide ribosomal RNA is filed under the name Triticum aestivum (bread wheat). RNAcentral's name for it is "partial small subunit ribosomal RNA". Lineage: Eukaryota; Viridiplantae; Streptophyta; Magnoliopsida; Poales; Poaceae. The record is from RNAcentral.
AUGGCGUGUCUGCCAAACGAGCUGAUCGUGUGGGAAAUCCUAGUUCGUCUGCCCGUCAAAUCACUGUGGCGGAUAAGGUGCGUCUGCAAGGACUGGCGCGACACCAUCUCCGGCGAUCCUUCCUUCGCUCAGUCGCACCUCCACCGACUUCGCAAGCAAAAAGAAAAAUACCAUAGCCUGCUCAUCGCACCACGUGUCUAUCGCAAAGUGGUCGAAUCUAGGAUAGACCGGUAUGAGGUCAUCAAUCCGGGAUUGUACUUGUGGGAGGAGAGCCGGCAGCAUGCCUCGACCCUCUUACAUGACACCUCCUCGUUCCCUGUGGAGGAGACGCGGAUCAGGCACGGGUUCGCACACUGCGAUGGACUUGUGUUGUUGCCGACUGAGGAUAUCGUGCGCGUGCUCAAUCCAACCACACACACCAAGUCCUCGAGCUGCCUUGGAGCCCCAACAGCAUCGCACCGCGCCGGUGUCGUACACACAAAGGCCACCAGGCGUUUGGCUUUGGUCGCAGCCAUCGCUCCAACGCCUACAAGGCCGCUCGCUUCUUCUAUCGUGAAAAGCGUGCCAUGGGUGGUAUUGGGAUGGAGCCUCGAGGACGAGUCAUUUAACAUCAUGACGGGUCCUCCACGGCUUGAAGGACCCGACUGUUGCUGCGUCGUUCGCGAGCUGCUGCCGAGACCUGCGACAUCAUCUCCAAGCUACGGCACCGAGUGCUGCGCCCAAUCUAAGCCGGUACUAGUACUUGUGGCUGCCGUUGGAGAACCGUGA